AGAGUUUGAUCAUGGCUCAGCCUGAACGCUGGCGGCGUGGCUAAGACAUGCAAGUCGCACGGAGGUAGCAAUACCUCAGUGGCGAACGGGUGAGUAAUGAAUCGCUAAUGUGCCCCGGACUCUGGGAUAGCUGCCCGAAAGGGCAGGUAAUACCAGAUGAUAUAACCGAAUCGCAUGAUUUGGUUCUCAAAGGUCCGCCGGUCUGGGAGCAGGCGAUUUUGUAUCAGCUAGUUGGUGAGGUAACGGCUCACCAAGGCGACGACGCAUAGCCGGACUGAGAGGUUGGCCGGCCACAUUGGGACUGAGACACUGCCCAGACUCCUACGGGGGGCUGCAGUAACGAAUCUUCCGCAAUGUACGAAAGUAUGACGGAGCGACGCCGCGUGCAGGACGAAGCCCUUCGGGGUGUAAACUGCUGUCAGGGGUUAGAAAGUUCUGAUCAACCCCAGAGGAAGGCACGGCUAACUCUGUGCCAGCAGCCGCGGUAAUUC
This 491-nucleotide ribosomal RNA is filed under the name uncultured bacterium. RNAcentral's name for it is "bacterial SSU rRNA". It matches the Rfam family "Bacterial small subunit ribosomal RNA", at positions 8 to 526 of the family's 1533-position model. The record is from RNAcentral.